UUCCGGUUGAUCCUGCCGGAAGCCAUUGCUAUCGGAGUCCGAUUUAGCCAUGCUAGUCGAGCGAGGUUAGCCCUCGCGGCGAACAGCUCAGUAACACGUGGCCAAGCUACCCUGCAGAGGGGGACAGUGUCGGGAAACUGACAGGAAUCCCCCAUACCGGUCUCACGCUGGAAUGCCGAGACCGACAAACGCUCCGGCGCUGCAGGAUGCGGCUGCGGCCGAUUAGGUAGUCGGUGGGGUAACGGCCCACCGAGCCGAUAAUUGGUACGGGGUGUGAGAGCACGAGCCCGGAGACGGAAUCUGAGACAAGAUUCCGGGCCCUACGGGGCGCAGCAGGCGCGAAACCUUUACACUGCACGAAGGUGCGAUAAGGGGACUCCGAGUGCGAGGGCAUACAGUCCUCGCUAUUGUGUACCGUAGGGUGGUACACGACCAAGAGCUGGGCAAGACCGGUGCCAGCCGCCGCGGUAAUACCGGCAGCUCGAGUGAUGGCCGAUUUUAUUGGGCCUAAAGCGUCCGUAGCUGGCCCUGCAAGUCCGUCGGGAAAUCCACUCGCCUAACGAGUGGGCGUCCGGCGGAAACUACAGGGCUUGGGACCGGAAGACUUGAGGGGUACGUCUGGGGUAGGAGUGAAAUCCUGUAAUCCUGGACGGACCGCCGAUGGCGAAAGCACCUCAAGACGACGGAUCCGACAGUGAGGGACGAAAGCUAGGGUCUCGAACCGGAUUAGAUACCCGGGUAGUCCUAGCCGUAAACGAUGUUCGCUAGAUGUGGCACAGGCUACGUGCCUGUGCUGUGUCGUAGGGAAGCCGAGAAGCGAACCGCCUGGGAAAGUACGUCCGCAAGGAUGAAACUUAAAGGAAUUGGCGGGGGAGCACUACAACCCGGAGGAGCCUGCGGGUUUAAUUGGGAUUCAACGCCGG
Molecule: ribosomal RNA, 923 nt
Filed under: uncultured archaeon
Lineage: Archaea
Description: bacterial SSU rRNA
Rfam family: Archaeal small subunit ribosomal RNA
Source: RNAcentral